AGAGAAAAAGGGUGAAAGUUCUCACACACCGGCCACGUUACAUUGAACUAGCCACAGUACCUGUUGGGGACUUGUUCUCAAAUGCUAAGAGUUAAGAACAAGGCAACAUAAAAAGUGUUAAGUGUUAAAGUCCUUCGUCCUUCGAAGCAUUAUGUCCCUUCGGGAAAUAAUGAGUUUCGGACGAAGGUCAUAAGAGACAUACCUUCGUAAACAUAACAAGUAAUGACGAAGGAUUCAUAUAAAGCAUGAAAUAUAAUAUAAGCAUCAUCAUAGAAUCAUUUCUAUUUUAUUAACAUGGAAAAAUAGAAAUGAUUUCAAAUUACAAAUGUACCUUCGGUCCUGAGAGAAGAUAAAAAGUACAAGCGUGACGCAAAAGCAAAUGCCAAGUCAGCGUGACGCAAAAGCAAAUGCCAAGUCAGCGUGAACAGUACGGGAGUACUGUUCAUCUAUUUAUAGACGCGGGACGCAGCCCACGUAAAAUUACAUUUAUGUCCAUUACAUUUGUCAAUGACUUAUGGAAAUCUGACAAGGUCCACGUAGUCUUUUCAUCUUUAAGUCGGUUCCCCUCUCUGCUAUCGCGACGAAGCUUCCCUGCGCACAGCUUCGGCUGUGCACCAUCCUUCGUGGAGCUUGGUAAUCAGCCCGUCCUUCGUCUGGUUCAUGCUUCGUCCUGACCGCACUUCAUGUUCGUAAUUCUGAGUCCGAAGGUACCUGUUCACAUAAUCCACUUGGAAAACAUUGUCAAAUCAUGUUUUUGAGGACCUUCGGAGGACGAAGGCCCCCAACAGUAGCCCCUCGCAAUAUUAAUUUGUUUGAAAUAAUAAAUUCAGAUUGCGAUAUGAACGAAGGCUUUAUGCCGAAGGUCCGAAAAAACACCUUCCCUUUGCUAGAAUAGCAACAUUCAAUGACAAGUGGGGUCUUUCAACUUUCAACGCAUCAAGCGUAUAAAUACGGCCAUACCGCAAACUUAUUUUGCACGCUUUCUGGCCAACCACUCUUGCUCACUCAUUUUUUAGCUCUUGUGCACUGUGAUCUGCUAAGCUUUUAGCUUUGAAGCUUCGGCUUUGAAAACAGUUUUUUAGUGUUUCCGAAGAUGUCUGAAGCUGCUAAGAAGGCUGCUGCUGAAAUGAAGCUGAGUCUUGAUGAAGAGAAGAACUUAGGGUUUCUUAUAGCAAUGUCGAAGACCAACACAGAAAAGAUCACCAGGGAAAUUCUGGAAGGGCUGUCUGAAGAUACUGGUGACAGUGAAAGUUAUGAUGUGGACAGCGAUGGCGAAGACUCCGAAGAUCGCCCCUGGCGACCAAGCCAUUCAGUUUAUGGUAAAUCAAUUAUCAAAGAGAAUCAUCUUGUUAAUAUGAGAGGAAGGUAUUUCCGGGAUCUGUCCAUUGUGAGGGCGGACGAAGGGGAAAAAACUUGUCCACACCCUGAAGAAAAUGAAGUUGUGGUGUACCGAAGCUUUUUGAAAGCCGGAUUGCGAUUCCCCUUGAGCAGCUUCGUCGUGGAGGUGUUGAAAAUCUUCGAAGUCUAUCUUCAUCAACUUACUCCAGAGGCUAUUAUAAGGCUAAAUAUCUUCGUGUGGGCCACGAGAAGCCAAGGUCUGAAGCCUGACGCAAGAAGCUUCUGUAAUAUACAUGAAUUAUUAUAUGAAACAAAGCCUUGGGGCAAAGAACAGUACCACAAUAACUUUGGCUGCUACAGUUUCGUCUCUCGCUCCGGGGCAAGCUGUCCCGUACCAACCUUUCGGAAGAGAUGGCCCAGGGAUUGGAUGACAGAAUGGUUUUAUGUGAAGAAUGACCUAUCAGCACGAGAAGACAUCAAAGGUAUAAUUAUGCGUCCUAUUUGGCAAAGCUUCGGCCUUCGGAGGCCGAAGGUGGAAAUGAAUGAAGCUGCCGAAGAAUGCCAGAGGGCCUUCGGCGUCAUCUGCUCUUUUAUUGGAACAAGAGAUUUAGUACAAGAACAUAUUGCCUUCCGGGUGUGGCCUCUUGCGGAGAAAUGGGAAAUGCCUCAAGAAACCACAAAAGAGACCGACGAAGGUGGGCUUGUGAGACUGAAGUACACCUUCAAGUUUGGAGAUAAAUUUACUGAGCCAGAUGACGACUGGCUAAAGAGUAUUGAAAAUUUAAGUGACGAAUUACUUGGUGCUUAUUCGAAGGCCGAAGAUACCGCGAUGUCAGCAGCCUUCGGAGGCCGAAAAAAGAAGAGGCUGAAUCGGGUAUUUGAUGCAAUUGGGUUUGUUUACCCUGACUAUUGCUACCCCAUCCGAAGGCAGAAAAGAAAGAACAUAACCUCUGCAAAAGAAGAAGCUGGAACUGCUCCUAGCGAGCCAGAGCCUGAAAGAAAGAAAAUAAAAAUCCUCACUCACCGGCCGCGUUAUAUCGAACCAGCUUCGGUGCCGGAGUUUACCGAAAAAUCUUCUUCGGUCACCGAAGCUGAAAAGCCAAUCAGACCAGUCACGCCACCUGCAGCUGCAGGGAUGACCGAAACGGCGAAAAAGAUAGAACUAGAAGAACCAAAGGUUUCGCUGCCAGAAACCAAAGAAAUGGUCGAAGCACUAUCCACAGAAAAAAUUGCAGAAGUGGAAAAACCAACUGAAGAAAAAGUACCAGAAAUUGUGAGUCCUGCAGCAAAUGUUGAGACAACAAAAAAUCAAAAAGCGCCAGCAAUGACUCCAAAAAGAAGAAGAAUGGCGAAUGUGCUAGAUGUACUAGAAACAAUUAAGACUUCAAGCACACCUCCGAAGAAGGCUGCUGUUACUUUUGAAACAACAGCUGAAAUUUCUGGUUCUGCAGCUCCAGAGCAAGAAAUUGAAGCCGAAGCUGGGCCCUCAGAGUCCACAAAGGCAAAAACCUUGGAAAGUGAGGCAGAAAAAAUAACAAAGCCAACUUUUGCUGAAGGAACUGGUGUUGUUACCCCCGAAGCAUCCCCCAAAAUUCGUGAUUAUAUUUUUCGUCAUGCUUCGGGGAAAAAAUUAUCAGAAAAAGAAGAACAAGAGGCCCAACACUAUGCCCAAAAGUUGAAAUAUCCAAAGGGGGCGUUGAUAUUUAAUGGCAGUGGAGAAGAAGAUUUCUUGUAUUGCCUCCCCGACAGCAAGGAAAUUUCUGUCUGUCGGGAGAUAAGCAGAAGCUUCGGAUUCCCAACUUUAGAAGACGGACUUUCGGUGCUGUCAAAGAACGAUCUGGCUGACAGCCUAGCUUACAACAGUUUAAAGGUGCGACAAAUGGAAUUCUUAUAUUUUUGUUGAGUUCAAGAUUUUUCGUUUGUUUAAAACUAUUAACACAGACAUAUUCCUGUCUGCAGGGCCUGAUACUCAGCAAUGCCCUCAGAGCACAGAAAGAUGCUGAGGACGAAGGAUGUACUAUAGCCCUGAGCAACCUUCGUUCCGAAGUAAUUGAACUGAGGAACGAAGGUCUCGAAAAAGACAAAAUAUUGCAUUCCUUAAUAAAUAAAAUAAAAGAAGACGAAGCUAUUUUCAAAGGUCAGGCCGAAGCUCAGAAGUGUGAAAUUGAAAACCUUCGUAAACAAUUAGCCAGAGCUAAAGAGGAAUGCAUACUUGAAGAAACAAGGCGAGAACUCAGCGACCAAUGGGCAAAUCAUUUAGAAGAAACUGUUAAAGAGCUUCGGUCAGCCAAGAAGAAAUGCUUCGACAAAUCUAUAGAGUGUGUCAAGAAAAUAAAAACUAGCUUCGCCAGCGUUGGCGCAUUUUCGCAAGAAGAAAACUUUAUAAGAGGUAACCCCGAAGGUCCCCUGGAAUGGAUCAAUCAUGAGGCGGAGGCCUUUGAAGAAAUUUUAAAUAGUCGCGGAGACAUCUGCGCUUUUUCUGGUGCCAGAGGGAUUGCCACUAUUUUGGAGGGGAAAGGAUGUGAACAUGUAAAGAUUUUAUCGCAGUCCGAAGCCACCUUGUCCACUGAAGAUAUAAAAGAUCCUUCAGCCGAAGCUAGCGCGGUUGGGGGAAAAUUUUUCACCGACAUCUGGGACAACGGUGGUAGAGAAAUGGCCCAAGAAAUCAUUCAGAAAAGCGAGAAAGGGAUUCAUGAGGCUAGAAAAGUAGCCGAGGCUGCUGAGAAAAACGCAGAGCCCGAAGGGCAAAUAGGUACUAACGAAUAGUUUUCAUUGCAUUAUAACUUUUAAUUUUAUAGCUCGUUCGCGAUCUGUAAUAAUGAUGUAAUAGUAUCCCGUCCUCACUCAGAUCCUACUAAAGCAUCUUCGGGCCCUCAGCCUAAAGAUGACGACGAAAUUAAAAAGAUGGCCGAAGCUAUCAUGGAUCAGGUUGUCGAUCGACUGCUGAACGAAGCUGCAGAGAUAGUACUUAGGGAAGACUAAGUGCUAUUGCAAAAAACAUUUGAUAUAUGAUUUGUGUAAUAUUCUGUAAUCCUGUAUGUAAUAUACUUGUUUUAUGAUUCAAUUCUUUACGAUGCAUGAAACUUUAAACACGUACCAUUUUUGAGUCUUCGACGAAAAAACACCUUCCCUUCUUUUCAUGCUUCGUGAAGAAGAAUUUAUCAUUUAUCACGACAAUAUCCAUAGUGUUCUGAUAAGAAAUAUCCAAGCUUCGUAAAAAUAAUCUCCGAAGCUAUACCUCGAAAAUCAAUAUUGUUUCUCCCUGUAACUUGGCAUGAUUUGCCCUUUUUCAAAGCAUUUUCCGAAGAUCGAUAACAUGCCCCCUUCUUGUGCCACAUGCAGCAUGAUGUAUGAUGAUUAUGCUAUGCAAAAUGAUGUGAUGAUGUUAUGUUAUGCAAAAUGAUAUUUUGUGCCGAAGAUACGCACAUUCCUGCAAUGGGGCACAAUCUUUUGUAUCAAUACUGACUUUUUCAUUAUAAGCCUCCCUUAGGAGCUUCUUCGCCUUUUACUUCAGCGGAAUCAGCGUUUAUUUUUCGCUGUAAGUUCUGCAUCCCCUUAGGAACGUCUUUGGAACUUCUUCGCCUUUUACUUAGGCGGUAUAAGCUCUGCAUUCCCUUAGGAACGUCUUUGGAGCUUCUUCGCCUUUUACUUAGGCGGUAUCAGCGUUGACUUUUCGCUGUAUGCUCUGCAUUCCUUUUGGAACAACUUUGGAGCAGAAAACUUACACUGCGCUCCCUUCGGAACGACUUUUUGUGACUUCGUCAGACUUACUCUGCGUUCCUUAGAACGACUUUUUGUUGCUUCGAAGGAUUUUCGAUAGUCCGAAGGUCCUUUUUAUUAUCACAAACCUGUGAAGAAAACAUAUUUUUCUUGUAGGAAUCAACGAAACUAAUUACAUGAAACCUAAACAAUGUCCUUUAUUAGAAAAAAUAAAACUGAAUGAAAAAGAUUGCUAUUAAGGUAGGAUAUUUGUCAAUAGAUGUGUUUUGACUCUGGCACGGUGCUGUUGACCGUGCGAGCUUCGGACUGUUCUCUGAAGUCCCUUUGAUGUGGAGCAUAUUGGCUCCCUUCUGGCUGCUGGCCUUGUUGCAACGGAGGUGGAGGCGGGGGCUGUUGCCAGGAAGCUGAAGGCUGACUUGCCGAAGCAGCAGAGACUGCAGGAUGGUUGCCCACAUAUUCUGGGAUGUAGGGCGAAUGAUACGAAGCAGUGUGCAUGACCUGCUUCGGCUGAGCCUGUUGCGCGGCAGCUUCGGCUAUCUCUUUUUGCUUCUGAAUGGUAACAUGACACAUCCUGGUAGUAUGACCUUUGUUUUCACCACAGAAUAAGCAAAAUAUUCUUCUGGGUUGAUCCCCGAAUCUUCCGCCGAAGCCCCUGGCGCCUCUGCCUCUUGGAGCUGGUGGUCGGAAGGAGCUUUGCUGUUGCCCCGAAGCCUGUGAGGAGUACUGUGGCCUUUGCUGCUGGCUCCCCUUAUCAUCAUUUUGAUUGGAAUUAUGAAUUGAUCUGACAUGCCUCGGAUAGAAUCUUCCUCCGAAGCCCCUGGUCAUCUCAGAAAAUCUGAAGGCCUCCUCCCUUCUUUGGCGAAAAUCAUUGUCAGCUCGAAUAUAUUCAUCCAUCUUCUGGAGCAGCUUCUCCAGCGUUUGUGGUGGCUUCCUGGCAAAAUACUGCGCUGAUGGCCCUGGCCGAAGCCCCUUGAUCAUGGCCUCAAUGACAAUCUCAUUGGGCACUGUCGGCGCCUGUGCCCUUAGACGCAGAAACCUUCGGACAUAUGCCUGAAGGUAUUCUUCGUGGUCCUGGGUGCACUGGAAAAGGGCCUGAGCAGUGACCGGCUUUGUUUGAAACCCUUGGAAACUAGUUAUGAGCAUAUCCUUCAGUUUCUGCCAAGAAGUGAUUGUCCCUGGCCGAAGAGAAGAGUACCAGGUCUGAGCAACACUUCUGACGGCCAUGACGAAGGAUUUUGCCAUGACUGCCGUAUUGCCACCGUAUGAAGAUAUUGUUGCCUCGUAGCUCAUUAGGAAUUGCUUCGGGUCUGAGUGACCGUCAUAUAUGGGAAGCUGGGGUGGCUUGUAAGUCUGUGGCCAAGGUGUAGCCUGCAAUUCUGUUGAAAGAGGAGAAGCAUCAUCAAAAGCAAAGUUUCCAUGAUGGAGAUCUUCAUACCAGUCGUCUUCAUUGCGGAAAUCUUCCUGAUGAAGCUCUCUGCGUGGAGGCCUUCGGGUUUGAUCUCCUUGAACGAAAUGACGGACCUCUUCCGAAGCUUCAUCUAUCUGUCUCUGAAGAUCAGCUAGACGAGCCAUCUUUUCCUUCCUGCGCUGAACUUGUUGCUGAAGGAUCUCCAAAUUUUGAAUUUCCUGAUCAAGAUCAUCAUCCGGAGGUGUUGGACUGACAGCCUUCCUUUUCUGGCUUCGGGCUUCUCUAAGAGAAAUAACAUCCUGAUUGGGAUCCAGCGACUGCAGUGUGCCAGCUCCUGUUGUUGAAGCCUUCUUCGGCGGCAUGACGAAGGUGACGCUCGCCGAAGGUAUUCAAAGCUCAAGAAAUGGAAGUGAGUUCACCGGAGGUGGGCGCCAAUGUUGGGGACUUGUUCUCAAAUGCUAAGAGUUAAGAACAAGGCAACAUAAAAAGUGUUAAGUGUUAAAGUCCUUCGUCCUUCGAAGCAUUAUGUCCCUUCGGGAAAUAAUGAGUUUCGGACGAAGGUCAUAAGAGACAUACCUUCGUAAACAUAACAAGUAAUGACGAAGGAUUCAUAUAAAGCAUGAAAUAUAAUAUAAGCAUCAUCAUAGAAUCAUUUCUAUUUUAUUAACAUGGAAAAAUAGAAAUGAUUUCAAAUUACAAAUGUACCUUCGGUCCUGAGAGAAGAUAAAAAGUACAAGCGUGACGCAAAAGCAAAUGCCAAGUCAGCGUGACGCAAAAGCAAAUGCCAAGUCAGCGUGAACAGUACGGGAGUACUGUUCAUCUAUUUAUAGACGCGGGACGCAGCCCACGUAAAAUUACAUUUAUGUCCAUUACAUUUGUCAAUGACUUAUGGAAAUCUGACAAGGUCCACGUAGUCUUUUCAUCUUUAAGUCGGUUCCCCUCUCUGCUAUCGCGACGAAGCUUCCCUGCGCACAGCUUCGGCUGUGCACCAUCCUUCGUGGAGCUUGGUAAUCAGCCCGUCCUUCGUCUGGUUCAUGCUUCGUCCUGACCGCACUUCAUGUUCGUAAUUCUGAGUCCGAAGGUACCUGUUCACAUAAUCCACUUGGAAAACAUUGUCAAAUCAUGUUUUUGAGGACCUUCGGAGGACGAAGGCCCCCAACAGUACCUGAACUCGGUAGUGAGACGUCUUCGGCCCCCAAAGCUAAGGAAUCAACUCCGCUGCCAGGAGCCAAAGAGCUGGCCGAAGAACCAACAACAAAAGAAUUGGAGGAACCAAAAAUUCUGUUACCAGAAACCAAAGAGCUGGCCGAAGUGCCAUUGACAGAAAAGAUGGAAGAAGCAAAAGCAUCAUCUGAGGGAGCG
This 7828-nucleotide long non-coding RNA is filed under the name Zea mays. RNAcentral describes it as "long non-coding RNA (ZMAY_LNC003655)". Lineage: Eukaryota; Viridiplantae; Streptophyta; Magnoliopsida; Poales; Poaceae. The record is from RNAcentral.